Camellia sinensis is the source of this 2525-nucleotide long non-coding RNA. RefSeq lists it as uncharacterized. Lineage: Eukaryota; Viridiplantae; Streptophyta; Magnoliopsida; Ericales; Theaceae. The record is from RefSeq and is a predicted model, not a curated record.
ACCAAGUAGAAAUAUUGGAAAACCACGGAGCUGAGGGAGAGAGAGAGGGAGAGAGUAAAACAAAUCAUUUUCCACCAGUUGAAUUCAUCGUCUCUCCACUUUCACUCUUCGUUCUCCGAACUUCUCAGGUGGAAAAAAUGGCAGGAAAAGGUGGAAAGGUGCUUUUCGGCCGGAAAGACCACAGCGGCGGCUGUGGCUGCCAAGGAGAAGGAAAAAAUGCGUUUUGUCUAUCCUCUAUUUUUCAUUCUACUACUGAGUUGCUGAAUGCAAGAUGUCUCUUGUGCACAUUGCAGUUGUCUGUUUGGAUGGAGAUGGCUGCAAAAUCCGAACUGGAUCAUCGAUAAUUGAGGAAGAUUCAAAUCUCGAUACAUCAAUUUCUUGUGACUUAUGUGAUAUAUGGUAUGUGUAACUUGUUAAAUUUCGUUUCAUUUACAGAUAUAGAGACAUUGAUGAUGAUUCUAUAUCAAUACGGAAUUGGUAAUUAGCUAGUAAACUCUAGCGACCUGUGUGUUAUUCAAAUGCAAUAGUUGGCCAUGGUAUGGAAUUCACUAAUUCAGAGAGUGGAAAUCUGAUUCUGUAUGGGGCUGAGAGAUGCAUUUGCCAGUGAAGGGCUUUGGUGCUUCAUGGUUGGUCUCUUGUAUAAUUCUCAGUUGGGCCUUGUUUAAGGGAGUCUUAGAGAGCCUUUUGUUAGAAUUAAGAAUUUUAAUGAUUAAAAAAUAUUGGGAUUUUUGCAACUAUUACUUGCCCUAAAAGAACUGAUGUUGCAUUUCAAAAUUUUGGCGCCGUAGUUCAUAGAGAUCUGAACUCCAUGCAUGUAAGGCUUAACAAAUGAUGCUUCCUUUGUCAUAACAGUGGGUGCUUUGUUUAAAUUGCCUUAAACCUGCCGUCUGCUAGCCCAAAAUUAACAAUCUCGGUGAAGGCAAUGUUCUGCCUUUUAUAAUCCAUAUCCAGUUGCGAUGGAGAAAUUAUUAUCCAUGAUAAUUUGAUGGGAUUGUGCUUUCAAAUGUUAUAUUUACUGCUAGCCUUUGUGAUUAUAUGUUUACUUAGACUAUGUUUGGGCUUCGUGGGUCAGUGUAAUAAGUGUAAUUUUUUGUAUGCAUCUCUUUCAAUUGGUCUCUUUUAAGAAUUUACUUUAAUUUGAUUCAUCCAAUCCUUAUGUUUUCCAAUGUAAGUGAUGUUACAGCACCAAAGAACUGUAAAAAAGAUGAGGUAUAGAAGAGGAAGGGAAAGAACUAGGAGGAAGGAGAAAAACAGGGAUAAUCCUAAUCAAUAUUCAAAUUCUUCAAAAUCCAAGCCAAGUCUGAUAAGUUCAUUACAUAAAGGCCUAUUUAUAGGCAUCCUUGGAAAACCCCAAUAAAUUCUAAUUCUAAUCUUCAAUUUAUCUUCAUCCAAUGCCUUUGUGCACUUUAUCUCAUCCAAUUUAUCUUCAAUUUAUCCUCAUCGGCUCUUUGUGCACUUUAUCACAAAGGGGCAGAUAUGGAUUGGUUAAUUCACUCUCUAUCAAGGUAUUUCUUAAUCCUUCAAGUAGUAUUGAGUUUUGAAUACAGAUUGUAGCCAAAAAUUAGUUUUAAUGUUAAAUUAAUAAAAUUAAUUUAACUCAUUCUGUUUAAUUUUUGUUUACUUCAUCAUUUUGAUGUGAAUUUUAAUUAUAUAUUGUUUUAUUUCCAGAACAAAUAACCUUGAAACAUAUAUAUAGAAUUGCAUCACUAUUCAAUACUAUGUAGUUGUUAUACAUAGAGUUCUAUAAUUACCAAUAGAAUUAAGCCAAACAGAAGUUGAUAGAAAAUCAAUUAUCUUUCUUUAUGAACUUCAUAAAUUGAUAUGGAGUAUUCAUUCUGAUGUAUUCCAUGUAGAUGCUGAGUAACAAUUUAAACAUGAAGAUUUUUCUUUUGCAGGUAAAUUAAAAUGUCUCUUAUCUAAAUCUUAUUCCUCAAUUAUUAUUACAAUGUUUCUUCCUAGUAUUUUCCUUCUGUUUACCUAUAACCAAACAGGGGGCAAUGUGACUCACAUUUGGUUUGCAUUAAUUUUGGUAUUUGAAGCUCACAGACACACAGACACUUGAUUAAUCUGAUUUGGUUUUCCCUUGAUCAUGGCACAUGUAAUUGUUACUAUUUUUUAUGAACAAAUUAUCAAUAGUUCCUAGAAAGAUACAGUACUUGUUGAGAAAUGCGACAGUGUAGAGUUGUACUGGACAUAUUUUGUUAUUUCAAUACAUCAAAUCCAGAAAAUGAAGAAAUUGAUUCAGACUCAAGAAACUGUUUUUGGCUAAUGUAAUGGCAUCAGAAGAACAAUUGUCAUUGAGACAAAUUAUUGUGGUUAGGGGUGGAACCAUGAUUUUUAUGUUAAGGGGCCAGAUUAAUACUAUGUUAUUAGGAGAUUAAAAAAUGAAUGAUAUACAUUUUAGGGUAAAUUACAUUGACCUCCAUAUGGUUUGGAGAAGAUAUCGUAAGUCCUAUAGUUUUGUUAGAAAGUUAGAGUUAUUAAUUUUAUAAUUGUUAUAAUUUGAAAUGCCAAUUUUAUUGAAU